This 495-nucleotide ribosomal RNA is filed under the name uncultured bacterium. Its description in RNAcentral is "partial 16S ribosomal RNA". It matches the Rfam family "Bacterial small subunit ribosomal RNA", at positions 28 to 507 of the family's 1533-position model. The record is from RNAcentral.
GACGAACGCUGGCGGCGUGCCUAAUACAUGCAAGUAGAACGCUGAAGGAGGAGCUUGCUCUUCUGGAUGAGUUGCGAACGGGUGAGUAACGCGUAGGUAACCUGCCUGGUAGCGGGGGAUAACUAUUGGAAACGAUAGCUAAUACCGCAUAACAGUAGAUGUUGCAUGACAUUUACUUAAAAGGUGCAAUUGCAUCACUACCAGAUGGACCUGCGUUGUAUUAGCUAGUUGGUGGGGUAACGGCUCACCAAGGCGACGAUACAUAGCCGACCUGAGAGGGUGAUCGGCCACACUGGGACUGAGACACGGCCCAGACUCCUACGGGAGGCAGCAGUAGGGAAUCUUCGGCAAUGGACGGAAGUCUGACCGAGCAACGCCGCGGGAGUGAAGAAGGUUGUCGGAUCGUAAAGCUCUGUUGUAAGAGAAGAACGAGUGUGAGAGUGGAAAGUUCACACUGUGACGGUAGCUUACCAGAAAGGGACGGCUAACUACGUG